This 427-nucleotide ribosomal RNA is filed under the name uncultured bacterium. Its description in RNAcentral is "bacterial SSU rRNA". It matches the Rfam family "Bacterial small subunit ribosomal RNA", at positions 79 to 518 of the family's 1533-position model. The record is from RNAcentral.
GCAGAUAUAUACGUUAGUGGCGGACGGGUGAGUAACGCGUGGAGAACCUGCCGUAUGCAGGGGGACAACACCUGGAAACGGGUGGCUAAUACCGCAUAAGCGCACAUGAUAGCAUUAUCGAGUGUGAAAAGCUUAAAUGCGGCAUACGAUGGCUCCGCGUCUGAUUAGCCAGUUGGCGGGGUAACGGCCCACCCAAAGCGACGAUCAGUAGCCGGCCUGAGAGGGUGAACAGCCACAUUGGGACUGAGACACGGCCCAGACUCCUACGGGAGGCAGCAGUGGGGGAUAUUGCACAAUGGGGGAAACCCUGAUGCAGCGAACCGCCGCGUGAGUGAAGAAGUAUUUCGGUAUGUAAAGCUCUAUCAGCAGGGAAGAAGAUGACGGUACCUGCACAAGAAGCCCCGGCUAACUACGUGCCAGCAGCUGC